AACGAACGCUGGCGGCAUGCCUAACACAUGCAAGUCGAACGAGACCUUCGGGUCUAGUGGCGCACGGGUGCGUAACGCGUGGGAACCUGCCCUUAGGUUCGGAAUAACUCCCCGAAAGGGGUGCUAAUACCGGAUAAUGUCUUCGGACCAAAGAUUUAUCGCCUUUGGAUGGGCCCGCGUUGGAUUAGCUAGUUGGUAGGGUAAAAGCCUACCAAGGCGACGAUCCAUAGCUGGUCUGAGAGGAUGAUCAGCCACACUGGGACUGAGACACGGCCCAGACUCCUACGGGAGGCAGAAGUGGGGAAUAGUGGACAAGGGGCGAAAGCCUGAUCCAGCAAUGCCGCGUGAGUGAUGAAGGCCUAAGGGGUGUAAAGCUCUUUUACCCGGGAUGAUAAUGACAGUACCGGGAGAAUAAGCUCCGGCUAACUCCG
This 431-nucleotide ribosomal RNA is filed under the name uncultured bacterium. RNAcentral describes it as "partial 16S ribosomal RNA". It matches the Rfam family "Bacterial small subunit ribosomal RNA", at positions 29 to 505 of the family's 1533-position model. The record is from RNAcentral.